UGAAAUUUUUAAUAAAUCCAUAAAUUUUAUAGUUUCCUCUUUUAACCUUCGAUCAUCAUCCCUUCUUCUUUAUUUCUCCCUGUGGAUCUCAAUCUCCGGUUGGUUAUCUAUCUCCAUCGCUCUCCACCACCACCAUAUCUAUCGCCACCGCGAUUACACCACUACCUCCACUCCAACACAAUCUCUAUUUUCGCCACCAUUCCUGCACCACCUCUACUCAGCAUCAUCUCCAACAAUUAAUAUUCUUUCUCUUUUUCUUCAUCUUCUUUUCCUCCUAUUAUCUAAGCGAGUGAUAGAUUUGUUUUUUGGGUUUCGAUCUAUGUAAUUUUAAAUGAAAUGUGGAAUUCAAACCAGACGAAUUCCAAUUGAUUUGAGACGAACCCUAGAAAUCUCCAAUGGAUUUGAGACGAACCUUAGAAAGUAAUUGGUUUUAUUGAAUCUCAAGGAGUGGUGGUGGCGGUGACAAUGGUGGAGCACUAGCGUUGGUGCUUAUUUUGACGAUGAUGGUGGAUGUUGUUUGCAGUGAUGGUGGUGGUGUUGGUGUUGGUGAUAGCAGCAUUGAUUUACAGGUGGUUUGGCUCAUGAAUAUUUUCAACAUGGAAAAUUUAGGAUAAUACAGAUGCAUAUGCAUUUUGGUAUGGUACUGUUGGAGCUAAUAACAGGCCAUGAACCUAUUGAGGCAAAUAAAGCUCCAGAAGAUGGAACCUAGUCUUACAGAGACAUCUAACUUGUGGUGCAAUGGUACCACAACCGACUCCGAAGAUGCGUUUCGAUUCACAUUAGGUUCACUAAUUUAGUAGAUCAGUUUUUUGGGAUCAAUUUUGGUUGUUGACACUAGAUUUUGGGAUCAACUUUGAUUGUUGACACUAUACAUAAUUUCAACUUUUAUUUUUGGUUUAAUUGUGGUUGUUGGCACUAGAUUUUGGGGUCAACUUUGGUUGUUAACACCAUUUUUAGUAUCAACUUUGGUUAUUGGCACUAUAUAAAAUCUGACCAUUUUCUGAGUUUUUAAUUUUGGUAUCAACUUUGGUUGUUGAUACUAAAUUUUGACAUCAACUUUGGUUAUUGACAUCAUACAUAGUCUGCACGUUUUCUGAAUUUUUAAUUUUGGGGAUGAACUUCGAUAU
This is a long non-coding RNA of Papaver somniferum (opium poppy), 1127 nucleotides long. RefSeq lists it as uncharacterized. Lineage: Eukaryota; Viridiplantae; Streptophyta; Magnoliopsida; Ranunculales; Papaveraceae. The record is from RefSeq and is a predicted model, not a curated record. The transcript is spliced from 4 exons.